Pelobates cultripes (western spadefoot toad) is the source of this 465-nucleotide non-coding RNA. The record is from the annotation of a GenBank genome assembly. NCBI's taxonomy places the organism in Eukaryota, Metazoa, Chordata, Amphibia, Anura, Pelobatidae.
GUUGGUAUGUUGUGAUCCUCUGGUAUUGUUUAUAAUCUCCUUUUAAGUAUUUCUCAUAAACUGACUCAUAUGCUCAUUGAUCUUGGAGGCUAUGAUGCUUGAUAGGACCUUCCAUGUUUUUGUUUUUUUUUGGUGGGGGCAGGUGAUUGAUUAGUAGUUAUAUGGUGUUGUUCCCUUGUGAGGUUUCUUCAUGAACAGUAUAGUUUGCCUUGUGUUAGCCAGUCAGAGUAUCUGGCUCAUUUGUGCAGCCAGCUAGCAUAGCUGGCAUUCAUACAGUGUUGUUAAAUAUUAUAUCCAUAGGUAUGGAUCAUAUCAUAAGUAGUUUUUUUGGAGGGUUAUAUAGAUUAGAGGUUAUUUCUGUUGCUUUGUAUGGUGCACCAUAACAUAUUGGUAAUAUUUCUCUCCCAUUAACACUGAACCUACAUUCACUUGUUCAAAAUUGAAGAUGACAUUACACGUUUGUAU